RNAcentral lists this ribosomal RNA (104 nucleotides) under uncultured bacterium. RNAcentral's name for it is "partial 16S ribosomal RNA". It matches the Rfam family "Bacterial small subunit ribosomal RNA", at positions 1379 to 1482 of the family's 1533-position model. The record is from RNAcentral.
CCUUGUACACACCGCCCGUCACACCAUGGGAGUGGGUUGCACCAGAAGUAGAUUGUCUAACCUUAGGGGGGACGUUUACCACGGUGUGAUUCAUGACUGGGGUG